Long non-coding RNA from Astatotilapia calliptera (eastern happy), 1169 nucleotides. NCBI's taxonomy places the organism in Eukaryota, Metazoa, Chordata, Actinopteri, Cichliformes, Cichlidae. The record is from Ensembl.
GUUGAAUAGUUUUUUUUUCUGACCGGUACCGGUCCGUGAGUCGUUUGGUACCGGGCCACGAGAGUUGAGGCUCAGUUGUGAAAUGUCUGGUUUUCAGGGUUUUUAUCGGUUUUCAGCGUUAUUUUGUUAUCGUUUUUAUCGUUAACUCGGUUUUCCUGGGUCUUUCCACAUGUGUUAUGAAUAAAUCUUCUUUUUUUUCGGUACUGGUACUAGUUUUGUUUUGUUGUAUUUAUGACGAAAUGACAGUGCUAAACUGUCAUCACUAAAAGUCUAUAUUUUUUUGACUCGAAUAAGUAAGUAAAAUUCGAUCUCCAGUGACAUUAUUGCACUUUACUUGUGCUGCACCAAUAAAAUAUAAUAUGGUAAGGAUUUAUUAUUUUAUUCAACUAUUCCUACACUAUCAAUGGGCUACUUUUGUAGUAAGAUGAAUUUACAGAGUGUAAGUGGAAAGUGUUUGAUUGUCAGACUUUUGAUUUUAUCAGAAUCAGAAUCAGAAUACUUUAUUGAUCCCUGGGGGAAAUUAUUUAUUUGUGAGCAUUUAAGCGACCACUUAAUUUUAAUGAAGACUCAACAUCAUCAUUUUCUUUUUCUUUUUUUCUUUUUCUUUAUCUAGCUCAGGGUCAUGUUGGUGCUGGAUCGUAGCCCAGCUGUCACUGGGCCAAAGGUAGGUAGGUCGGCAGUCUGUUGCUGGGCUAAUUUUUAUUUCUCUUCUUUUUUUAUACAUUUUUUUAAAUUUAUAAUUUUAUUUUAAUUUAGUUUUUUGCUUUUUGCCAAAUCUUUUAAUUGUUCACACACUCACAGACAUAAAAAGAUGUGACAUACUUACAUACCGCACAACACACACAGCAGAAGAACAGUGUGGUCACGGGAAGGAAGAAGCAGAUAUUGAUCCAUAUCAGGACUCCCAACAUCUCUGUCUGACUUUCUGUGUGGUGGAGUUGCUGUAGAUGAAUUUUCUACUCUCUUUUCACCUGAAAAAAAAAACAAAACAAUGUGAAACAGCAGGUGGUGAAAAUGAUUCACUGGUUUGCUCUAAAUGCUGGAAAAACACUGAGUUCCUCCAAAUGACCCUCCUCAAACUCGUGCUUUUUUCUGUUUGACCUAACAUACAUGUGUGGGAAAAGUCAUGCUGAAUAUCUAAACGUAUAUAGACUUGGUACAGUGUUGCC